RNAcentral lists this ribosomal RNA (1466 nucleotides) under uncultured archaeon. Its description in RNAcentral is "bacterial SSU rRNA". It matches the Rfam family "Archaeal small subunit ribosomal RNA". The record is from RNAcentral.
CGGUUGAUCCUGCCGGACCCUACUGCUAUCGGGGUGGGACUAAAACAUGCGAGUCGAACGACUUCUAGCCAUGAUGAAGUCGUGGCAUACGGCUCAGUAACACGUGGCUAACCUACCCUUGAGACGGAGACAACCCCGGGAAACUGGGGCUAAUCCCCGAUAGAUGAGAACCCCUGGAACGGGUUCUCGUCCAAAAGGCAUCAAGGCCACGCUUCUUGGUGUCGCUCAAGGAUGGGGCCGCGACCGAUCAGGCUGUUGGUGAGGCAACGGCUCACCAAACCUUUAACCGGUACGGGCCGUGGGAGCGGGAGCCCGGAGAUGGGAACUGAGACAAGGUCCCAGGCCCUACGGGGCGCAGCAGUUGCGAAAACUCGUCAAUGCACGAAAGUGUGAACGGGCUACCCCGAGUGCCGUCCGCUGAGGAUGGCUUUUCCCUGGUGUAAGGAGCCGGGGGAAUAAGGAGAGGGCAAGCCUGGUGUCAGCCGCCGCGGUAAUACCAGCUCUCCGAGUGGUGGGGAUGAUUAUUGGGCUUAAAGCGUCCGUAGCCUGCCCUUCAAGUCUCUCGUUAAAUCCAGCGAUUCAAUCGUUGGACUGCGGGAGAUACUGUUGGGCUAGGAGGCGGGAGAAGCCGACGGUAUUCCCGGGGUAGGGGUAAAAUCCUAUAAUCCCGGGAGGACCACCAGUGGCGUAGGCGGUCGGCUAGCACGCGCUCGACGGUGAGGGACGAAAGCUGGGGGAGCGAACCGGAUUAGAUACCCGGGUAGUCCCAGCUGUAAACGAUGCAGGCUAGGUGUUGGAGCGGCUACGAGCCGCUUCAGUGCCGCAGUGAAAACUUGAAGCGAGUCACCUGGGAAGUACGGUCGCAAGGCUGAAACUUAAAGGAAUUGGCGGGGGAGCACUACAACGGGUGGAGCCUGCGGUUCAAUUGGAUUCAACGCCGGAAAGCUUACCGGACUCGACAGCACUAUGAAGGUCAGGCUAAAGACCUUACCGAAUUCGCUGAGAGGAGGUGCAUGGCCGUCGUCAGUUCGUAUCGUGAGACAUCCUGUUAAGUCAGGCAACGAGCAAGACCCGUGCCCACAGUUGCCAGCAUUUUCGCAAGAAAGAUGGGCACACUGUGGGGACCGCCGCUGCUAAAGCGGAGGAAGGAGCGGGCUACGGUAGGUCAGUAUGCCCCGAAUCACCCGGGCUACACGCGGGCUACAAUGGUUGGGACAAUGGGCACCAACACCGAGAGGGGGAGGUAAUCCCGAAACCCGGCCUCAGUUGGGAUCGAGGGCUGUAACCCGCCCUCGUGAACAUGGAAUCCCUAGUAAUCGCGCGUCAUCAGCGCGCGGUGAAUACGUCCCUGCUCCUUGCACACACCGCCCGUCGUUCCACUCGAGUGGGUUUAGGGUGAGGCGUGGUCUUUUUGGCUGCGUCGAAUCUUAGGUUCGCGAGAGGGGAAAAGUCGUAACAAGGUAGCC